GUUUAGCCCUCCGGAAAACAUGUCAUCUGUUGGCCUCUUUCUAGUCACCAUCUCAAGAACCAGGACACCGAAGCUAUAAACAUCCCCCUUUGUGGAUGUGCUUGACCCAAACCCAUACUCUUCAAGAUGAUGACUGGAAAACGCAUCUCCGAAACAUGUAACAGAAUGCUGUAUCAGUAAAACGAGCAUGGUUAUCUUGAAGGACAUGCUGGAGAAGCAGUGGUCGAUGAUGAUCUCCAAAAUAUCCGUGGAUCAAGCUAUUACACAGGUGUAUUACAUAUUCGAGUAUUAAAAUGAUAAGUUCAAAGCUUUUAUGUGGUGGUCUGCUUGCACGAUUGACAUUUUUAUUUGUGGUUAUGGGUGGAGGUGGAAAGAGAUUUUUGAAUAUGGAAAAUUCAAUUGCGGCAUGAUUUGAUGAGGGACUAAACAAUCCUUCUUCCCUAUUCAACGUUGAGGAGAGGAAUGAAUAGAUAUUCAACUUAGAUAAACACCCACUGGGAGGACAACUGCUUCUAGUACCUAGUAGAAUAUGAUUACUAUUCGCCCUAAAGUUGAGCGGAGAACAGUUGAUUUAUAUAUGUUUUUUAACUUAGCCUGCUGAAAUUGAUAUAGUUGACAUUUAUGUUUAAUGAUUUAUGGUUGUUCUAGCCUAGAUCAAUGAAUAAAAAAUCCCAUUAUCCAAAUAAUGUCUUUUGGCAUUUAACAAAAUCUAGAAAGGA
Molecule: long non-coding RNA, 719 nt
Organism: Olea europaea var. sylvestris
Lineage: Eukaryota; Viridiplantae; Streptophyta; Magnoliopsida; Lamiales; Oleaceae
Exons: 2
Source: RefSeq, a predicted model, not a curated record